UCCCAACAUACCAAAAAUACAAUACAGCUUGAGAACAAUAUUAUAAAAAUAUAAUUUUUCAACAAUGCUUGAGAAACACUUAUGUUCCACAAACAUUUCUCAAGUCUGUCCCUUGUUGACAAAUUAGUUUUGAUUUUUUGUGAAAAUUGUCAGCAAGAAAUUAUUUUCUUUGGCAAAAAACAAAAUUACGCGAAUUUAGGACCCAUUUGUGGACCGAACCCUUAAGAUUGGAAGCAUCAAAAAAGUUGCAGGAAUUCAAUAAAUGUGUAGUCUUAGUGGAAGAGAUGCAGAAGUUCAAAUAAGGGAGAAGAAAGCGUCAGGGUAUCAAGGCCACAUGCGGCAGUGACUACUGGGAUGUCCAUCAAGAAAAAACGUUAAAAAUGAUUAAAAACUAAAAAAAAUAAUAUUUUAUACUAUUACAAAAAUAAGCUUAUUAUAAUA
Molecule: long non-coding RNA, 441 nt
Organism: Musca domestica (house fly)
Lineage: Eukaryota; Metazoa; Arthropoda; Insecta; Diptera; Muscidae
Exons: 2
Source: RefSeq, a predicted model, not a curated record